AAGCUAAAUGUUGAAGAGUGAGGAAAAGUAUUUGUUGAUAUGCUGUGUCAUUUCAAGGCUCCUAAUUUGCAUUUACUAUUAAGCUCUUGUAUGAUCCACAGCAGAAGCACUUAAUUAAACGUUAGUGAAUAGCUUUUCUUACCCAGAGCCAGGAAAACUCUUUCUUCCUGAAAUCAAAAGAGGAUUUCCUCAAACAUCAAAAUGAAUCAUUAAGUAACUUUGAACCAGAAUAAAAUAGUCCACCAUUAUGAAGCCUUUGAAAUACAGGUGUUUUCCUGUCCCCCAUCUUAAUAUAAUCUUUAUUUAAAGACAGUUUAAUUAAAAGUCUUAGAAAAAUCAGAGAUCUAAUAUAGACUAAAAUAAUAAGCUUCAGAUAAGUAGUUCCACGAAUAAACAGAGAUUGAAAACCAUGUGCAUUGCGAUUGGCAUCUAUAGCUGAGCUCAGACUGCCUAAAAAAAAGGGGGGGGGGCUCUUAAAUUAAAGCAACACAGAGCCCCCUCUCUAAUGUCCUCCAUGUUAUUGCAUCCACUAACAAGGGGAGAGUCAUUCCUCGCCAGUAGGUGGUGCUUUUGUAUAAAACAUUACUCAAAGAUAAAUUCGUUUCUGACUAAUUUUCUACCUCUGUACAUCUUAACCCUGUGUCGCAUCUCCCAAAAGGCCAGACCCAAGUUAUGCCACUGUUGUCUCUAAAAUACACUCGCCUUGUCUCGCUGUUCAGAAAGACACUUGCCCACACGUAGUUUUCUCUGUUAGAGAGCUGCAUAAUUGCAUACAUUAAUAGGUAGCCUUGCUUCCUUUUGUUUAAAACUGGUGUCUCUGUACAUAUAAUUAUUUUCCGUGAAUAUCCCACAAUUAAAGAGACAGCAGUACUUUCUUGACAGUACAAUUGGAUCAGAUUGACUAGACGUGCAUGUCAGUGCGAUCAGGAAGCAAUAGCAAAACAAAACAAACAAGCACGCAAAAAUCUUAGCACUGAUGACAGCCGACUGAGCACAGUUCACCCUGAUCAGUCACUCAACGCCAGUCCACACUUAAUGGCUUAAUGCUUUUCUCUUAGGUUAAGGGUUGUCCUAAGUCUCCCAGAGUGCACUCUCAUUCAGUGACGAUCAGAGACACAGUAAUGGCACACUCCAUCCUUCUUUGCCACACUCUUUCCUUCAGUAACAACAGAUUCACCUGUUACUGUUAGUUAUAAAUAAGAGAAGUAUUACCUUAAGCACCCAUUGUUACUGCUGCUUAUCCAUGUUAAGAUUAAAGGAAUUGCGAACUACAGACACAGCUGCAAAUGAUAGAGAAAAUCCAGCUAGGUAACAGCUUUAGUGAGACGAUUUUAAACCAGUUUUUAAAUUUUGUGCAAAUAAUAUUCAGUCUUUUCCCUCCUCCUCCCCCUCCCAAACUUUUCAUCAGUUAUAUAUAAUUAUACAGUGCUUGAUGUAUUCUGUUCAUUUGAGGUUCAAGCUGUUUGCUUUCCCUUAGUAGUACAUAUCUCCAUUUAUAUGGGCAUAUUGGUUGAAGGGAGAGAGGUUUUUUUUUUUAAAUAACACGUUUUUAAAAAUAAUCUCAAAUACAGGCAUUGGU
This 1579-nucleotide long non-coding RNA is filed under the name Mus musculus (house mouse). RNAcentral's name for it is "long non-coding RNA chr13:83660339-83661918". The record is from RNAcentral. Lineage: Eukaryota; Metazoa; Chordata; Mammalia; Rodentia; Muridae.